AUCACCCCAGCCGAUUUGCGCGGCUCCGUCCUCGCCUGCCAACAGAACCAGGCAUUGUCUGCCUCUCACGUCAACUAAAAACCAGGGACCGAACGAGGUAUUCAAUCUUCUUCUCCGGCUUCCAUUUCCAUUUCGUUGCUUCUCUCCGUCAAAUGGAUUAAGCGUAGGGUUAUGGACGGAUGGUUUGACUAAUUCUGCUACAUUUGCCACUUAAAUGGCAGGUGGGAAACCCUAGACUCUCGUGCUUGCUUGUGGUUUAUCUAGAACAGUAAGGAUGGGAAAUCUGAAAUACAGUUCACUCUCCGCAAGUUGUUCGGACUGACACUUGUUUGCGAUACCGUAGUAGAGCAGGUUAUCACAACAUGUACAAGGAGUCCCGUGAUACCAUAUGAUGGCUUUCAAUCAUAAGAUCUCUCAUCACUGUAUCCAAAUUAUCCAUCCCUGUUGAACAUCCCUUUCUUCGCCUCCCCUGCUCCUGCAAGCCCAACCAUCUCCGAUGCCUUGCCUCGCUCAGCAUUAUCUUCAGAUUCUUUCUUAUCCUUGCAUUAUGGAGAUGACUUCCAAUCAUAAGAUUGGUGCAGAGCAGAUGUACACUGAGAUGGCUUCCAAUCAUAAGAUUUGUCAUAGCUGUAUCUAAAUUAUCCGUCCCAUCAAGCAUCCCUUCCUUCGCCCUCUCUGCUCCUGCAAGCCCGACUGGGUGCACCACUUUACUCUGGUAAUUAGAUAAGGAUCGUUUGCCGCCGUAAUGUUCACGAGCGUAGACAGGGAGAUGCGAUGUGGUUGAGGAAUCGAAGGCGUCAAAGAGAGCGUGAUGCAAUAAUUAGGAUGGCUGGCGGAAUCUCAAACCAUCAUCGCCCUGCAACCAAUCCUAGGAGAAGACCAUAAUCACGCGCAAAACCUACUCUGGUCUUGAUUCUGAUGGUUCUUUGUGCGAUGUCUUGGAUCAAUGUCAUUGAGUGGCUACUCUGUGUUGGUGAUGAUUUAAUGCUAGGUUCUCGAUUAGGGUAAACUGAGUUUUCUCAAUCACAGUUGCAUGGGUCCCACCGGUGAACAAGUUGGUAUGUCCUACAAUACUAUCCGGGUUCCUAAUGGUUAUAGUGAGUGUAAGAAACGAGGAGCUUAGCCAAGUCAAUAACUUCAACGAUCUUCAUGUGGAAUAGUUUUGGAAGGAGGCAGUGACAUGCUUUCUGCUAUGCUAUGUAAGUAUUUGAUUUUGCAUUAUUCAUUUAUUUAUUUCUGUACACUCUUCAAAGGGUUGGUCAAUUUUUUUUAUAGUUGUUUAAUAAUCUGAUAGUGUGUUGCAUAAUAAGGAAGUUAUAUAGGCUUGGCCUGGAAAUCAGGAUUAGCCAUAUGUGUUAUUUUCAUGCAUAUGGUUUUUAUGUUCUCUUUGUGUUAGCAGUGCAGCGUAAAAUACUGCAUAAGUUUGAUAGGAUACAUAUUUACUGCUCUCUCCGGAGAGAGCCGCUGUAAUAUGUAUCCAAUCGAACAACUAUUCUAUUUUUGUCAUUCUCCAAAGGUGGUGCUGGCAAUCAAUCAAGCUAAAUGUUUUACUUGUUUAUUUUCAAAAGUAGACAAGCAAAUCUCAAUGUUUUGGAGUACUGGGGUGUUUGAUCUGUUUUUGGUUUAUUUUAUAUGGAGAUUGCUAGGAAGAUGCAUGUGUGUAUUAGAAAUGGAUGUACAACCUGUACCUGUGGUUGUGAUGUUAUGUGAUCAAUCUAUGUAUCACUUUAUUGUCCCAAAGUAUUGGAUUAUAUAAUUGAGAGGGGUUAGGAUAUAGUAGUUAGUUGUAUAUCAUGCUGGCAAUUAGUGUGUGCUUGCUUCAUAUUAUAUGUCAAUAUUAUGAUUA
Andrographis paniculata is the source of this 1846-nucleotide long non-coding RNA. RefSeq lists it as uncharacterized. The transcript has 8 exons. Lineage: Eukaryota; Viridiplantae; Streptophyta; Magnoliopsida; Lamiales; Acanthaceae. The record is from RefSeq and is a predicted model, not a curated record.